CUUAGCUACAGACUCCUCUCACCAUGGUGGAUUGGUGGGCAGAGCAGACGAGCAGCAUCGUGCUUGUAUUCCGGCGGGUAGACCCUCGACGGCCUAGCGUCCACCGCGGUGCUUGUAUGCUGCGAGGCAACGCGCUGCCGUUGGACGCUCGUUGUGGCGUGCUCGAUCGCCGGGGCCUUCGUGCGCUUGUACGACGUCGUCAGGCCUGCCUGCUAGCCGCAACUCAUUGCACGCUGCGCAUAUCGAGCGUUCUGCUGCUAGCUGAUAUUCCAGCGUCGCAGCGGGCUGCAGCUCGUGGAGGUCGCAACUAACCGCCGCUCCGCACCAGCUUCCCCGGCGGGGGACAGCCUGUUGCGUUGCAGCUCUUCUAGCAGCUGCACGAGCUCAUCAGAGUUUGUUGGUUGGAGCUUGGGAGGAAGGGGACGGGUAUCUUUUGGUCCAAAUAUUUCGACAAGUGAAGUGAAGAGGUAGGAAGUGCCAUGUCUCCAAUACUUAUAUAAUUGUGAUGGUAUGAUUAUAAAUAGAUGAAUAAUAAUGGUAUAUUACAAAACCUUAAAAAAAUUACAGUGUCAUGAUCCAAUUAACCGUUGUGUUCAAACAGUCAAAGACAGUCUGACAAGAUGCGGACCCAGUAGUAUAUUCAACAUUAGGGUGUGUUUAGUUUUUUGGGUGUAAAUUUUUUUUAAGUAUACGGACACACAUUUGAACUAUUAAACGUAGACUAAUAACAAAACAAAUUACAGAUUCCGCCUGUAAACUGCGAGACGAAUUUAUUAAACCUAAUUAAUUCGUCAUUAGCAAAUGUUUACUGUAGCAUCACAUUGUCAAAUCAUGGCGUAAUUAGGCUUAAAAGAUUCGUCUCACAAUUUACAUGCAAACUGUGCAAUUGGUUUUUUCCCCAUUUAAUUAAUGCCCCAUAUAUGUGUCCAAACAUUUGAUGUGACGUUUUUGGCCAAAAAUUUUUAGGAUCUAAACAAGGCCUGUGUUUAGUUCACGCUAAAAUUGGAAAUUUGAUUGAAAUUGGAACGAUGUGACGGAAAAGUUAGAAGUUUGUAUGUGCAAGAAAGUUUUGAUUUGAUGGAAAAGUCGAGAGUUAGAAGAAAAAGUUUAGAAGUAAACUCAGCCUUAGUUUAUUUUCAUGGUGCUAAACUGCUACUGCUGCUUAUCUACAUGCCCAUAGCAUCCUAGACUUAUCUCUUUCUCCUCCCCCUUAUCUCUUUCUUCUCCCUUUCAUAGCCACAUACAACUUCCCUCUCUAUCUGUCCCACACGGGCAUGAACGAUUCUUUUUUAUUUGUUUCUUUUGUGUGACUGAGACAUGAACGAUAUAUCUCUUCUGAACGAUAUAUCUCUUCUGUUUGAUUCAGUUCUUAGAUAGAAUGAUUUUAUUAAUUUAGGCAUCGAUCUAGCAUGCGGUCGGUAUUAAUUUAGGCAUCAAUAUGUGAUUUUGUCAUAGCCGGCUUGAAUAGAGCUCCUCCCUGUUUUGUUAUACAGAGGAGGCGCUGCCGAUGCAAUCCUAUCAAGCUUAGCUGGGGUAUUGGAUUUGUGUGUUCUUUUCCUUCUUUUCUUUCCUCCCUUCUGCUUGAGUUCUCUAAGAACUGAUUACCUGAUUGGAUUUUAUAUUGGUUUUUAAUUUUAUUUUUUGUCCGACAUCCCGAUUGAAUCUUGCAUCAAUUUUGAAUUUGUUCCUUGUCCGGGCAGAGGGCAUCGCUCGCAGACGAACGCGUAAAAAGAAACGGACAAAAACGGAUUGACGAACACAAAAAUUAUGUGACGAACGGAGAGUUAUUGAUUUUUUAAGUAGUAGUUAUUACUAUAUUAUUAUACGGGAUGGCUAUUUGGCAGUCGAAUGUUUUUUCUUGCCUCUAUCAUUCGUUUUUUAAGCCGUCGGAUUUCUUUGUGAUUCGUACUGGCUUGUAGUUCAUUUUGUAGUGUCGGUGUGUGGGCUUAUGAGCUUUUUAUUUGUGUCUGGGCUUUUGGGCUUUUUUUUGUGUGUGGUAAUUAUGUGGGACCCACAUCAGAAAUUCUUUUCGACAGCCUGUGUGGGACCCAUGGGCACUGUUCGAAUUUUGAAAUCCGCGCUUGUCUUUUUUGUGCCGACGGAGAGAGAGUGAGUCAGAUAGAGGGAGAGAGAGAGAUAUUUCUCUCGUUCUCGUCGUCUCAGGCGACGCGGCGGCGAUUCCGUCGGGCGGAGCGGCGGCGUUUCCGUCGGGAGGAGCGGUGGCGAUUCCAUCCGGUGAUUGUGCAGUCCUGUUGCGCAGUUUGCGGGAGGUGAAGUCUUUGGUUUGCUGGUGGCUACGACGCGGCUGUGAAGUUGGAGCUGAUUUCGUCAUGGGUCAUAGAAAAAGAUCAAAAGUGGAUAUUUCUAGUGAAUCUAACAGUGACAAUGAUUGUAGUUUGAGUUCUGAUAAUCAUGAUGGUGAUGUUCAUUUAUCUAAUCAUGAUGAAAGUUCUGAUAAUCAUGACCAACAUUUUGAGGAAAAUGAUCCUUUGCUUCAUUUAACUAAAGAAGAGCUUAUGAAGAAAUUGAAAAUAAAGCUUGGUAAAAGGCCAUUUACAGAUGACCAUAAAAAGAAGAGACAUAAAGUUGAAUCAGACUCAAUUAUCGAUGAUGCAUUGUUAGAGAUUCACAAUGAUCUAGUUCUCCAUUCUUUGAAAAUGAAAUUAAGCAUGCUUGGUGAACAGUCUAAAAAUAAGAGAAAAACCUUUGAGAAAGAUAACCAACAAGGGUGUGUUCUGACUGAUUGCAAAUUAUUGUUUUAUAUGAUCAUGAUCUUUAAUUUUUUAUAGUUUUUGAUAUGCUAUGGGAUAAGCUUGACACUUUUAUAUUUACUUGCUGAACAUUUAGCUGUGAUUGAAUGCUUGUGCAAGCAUGUGCUGCUCCAUGUUAGAAUGUCUGCAUACAUUUUUUUUCUUGCAAAAUAAACUGUAACUUUAAAUAUUUUUUCAUGUAAUUUUUUUCAGUUUCUUCAUAUAUGUAAGUUUUGUACUGUUACUGCAGUCAAGAAGCUGUUAAUAUUGAUGGAGUUCACUGCAAAUUCUCAUCUUUUGGUUCUUCAUUCAAACAAGGUGGAGAAUUAUCAAAUUUUGUAAUGUUUGUGUUCUGUCGAUAUAUGUUUAAAUCGAUUCAUCCUUCAAAAUCCAAAAGACACUAUUUCUUCUCUUCAAUUGGGAAUGAUCUUAUGAAACACCCUUCAAAAACUAAUUUUGGAAUGGUCCAAAAGAGUUUUUCUAGAGCAUCACUUGCUAGACCAAUUGAGAUAUGUGACAUGGUAUGUACUUAUGUAAUGUUUAAUUGAAUUAGUUUAUAUUAGAUUUCUCUGUUUUUACAUUUGUUUUUAUUGUAUCAUUUUUUCAGCUGUUUUUCCCAAUAUUGCAUUUGAGGCAUUGGUUUCUGUUUGUUGUUGAUUUGAAAGAUGAGAGUUUUGUUUUCAUUGACUCCUUAUUUGAAGAAGAAGAAGACUAUCAAUACAAUGCUAGAUGCAGAUUGGUAUGAUUUUUUUUUUGCAAAUUAUUAUAUGUAUAGAAUAAUUUAUUUUUAUGAUUGUUUCAUUUUGUCAGAUAUCAAAAUUUUCAAUUGUAUGGAGGAAAUUUGUCUCUGAACAUCCAAUUAACUUUGCUAGUUUCAAGAUAAUAUACCCACCUCGUCCAAGACAAACAAAUCGCCUUGAUUGUGGUAUUUUUACUCUGAAAUUCAUGGAAAUUUGGCGUCCAAGAGUUCUGCUAACCAACCAGUUCUCUCAAAAAGACAUUCCUAACAUAAGGAUUCAAUAUGUCAACAAGUUGUUUUUCCAUCCAUGCAACAUUAUGCUGAACUCUGCAACAAAGAAACUUGUUACUGACUAUUAUGCAAAGGGCUGAUUUGAUUCAACAGGAAUACUUUGAAAACCAAGAUUACUUUAGCUCAACAGUUUAUAGUAGAUUUGUAUAGAUACAAUUUCUGUGCCAUAUUGUAACUAUUACAGUAAGAUAACAACUUGAAAGGUCACAUCACAAAAGGUACCAAACUUCA
This is a non-coding RNA of Oryza sativa Japonica Group (Japanese rice), 4011 nucleotides long. NCBI's taxonomy places the organism in Eukaryota, Viridiplantae, Streptophyta, Magnoliopsida, Poales, Poaceae. The record is from RefSeq and is a predicted model, not a curated record.